Long non-coding RNA from Salarias fasciatus (jewelled blenny), 320 nucleotides. RefSeq lists it as uncharacterized. Lineage: Eukaryota; Metazoa; Chordata; Actinopteri; Blenniiformes; Blenniidae. The transcript is spliced from 4 exons. The record is from RefSeq and is a predicted model, not a curated record.
CCGUGUGUUUCCCAGAAUGCACCUGGAUCCAGUGGAUCAUAAACAUGUGUAUGUGCCAUUUCAAAAUGAGGUGAAGCGUGUGGCUGUAGCAAAGUGCAGCACACACACAAAUGUCCAGGAGUGGUGGACUGCUCAGGAUCCAUACUGUGUGUGGUGUGUCUCCAAAGGAAGCUGCACCUUUGAAGAUGACUGUGAGGACUCCCACUGGCUGUCCAUUCCUGAUGUCUUCCAGCAGAAACUGAUUUCCCACAAAGUUGUUGAAGACGGGACUGGACAGCUCACUCUGAACAUCCAGACUCAUGUGAAUGUGAGCAAAGAGA